AGUGAACGCUGGCGGUAGGCCUAACACAUGCAAGUCGAACGGCAGCACAGUAAGAGCUUGCUCUUACGGGUGGCGAGUGGCGGACGGGUGAGGAAUACAUCGGAAUCUACUUUUUCGUGGGGGAUAUCGUAGGGAAACUUACGCUAAUACCGCAUAUGACCUACGGGUUAAAUCAGGGGUUCUUCGGACCUUUCGCGAUUGAAUGAGCUGAUGUCGGAUUAGCUAGUUGGCGGGGUAAAGGCCCACCAAGGCGACGAUCCGUAGCUGGUCUGAGAGGAUGAUCAGCCACACUGGAACUGAGACACGGUCCAGACUCCUACGGGAGGCAGCAGUGGGGAAUAUUGGACAAUGGGCGGAAGCCUGAUCCAGCCAUACCGCGUGGGUGAAGAAGGCCUUCGGGUUGUAAAGCCCUUUUGUUGGGAAAGAAAAGCAGCAGGUGAAAACCCCCCUGUUCUGACGGUACCCAAAGAAUAAGCACCGGCUAACUUCGUG
Molecule: ribosomal RNA, 492 nt
Filed under: uncultured bacterium
Lineage: Bacteria
Description: partial 16S ribosomal RNA
Rfam family: Bacterial small subunit ribosomal RNA
Source: RNAcentral